Molecule: long non-coding RNA, 937 nt
Organism: Suricata suricatta (meerkat)
Lineage: Eukaryota; Metazoa; Chordata; Mammalia; Carnivora; Herpestidae
Exons: 2
Source: RefSeq, a predicted model, not a curated record
UGGAGCACCCACUGGGCUCCUGGCUUGGUUUUGAAGUCAAUGGCUCCAUUUAAACCUGGUUGAGAUUUUUUUUUUACAUUUUUUUAACAUUUGUAUACUUCCCCAAACCGCUAGUCCGCUUAAUCCCACAGACUGCCUUCUCAGAAGAAGAAACGAAAGCAUUGCUCUGAGCAUUAGCCCAAUGAUACAGAUGUCCAGGCACAUAAACACAUUUCUGACCCGGCUGCGGACGGCCACGUGAAGCAACUUGGACACGGCCACAAAACAAGGAAACUCGGAGCUGCCCUGUUAAUUCCAGUCACCGUCAUGGCUUUGAUGGCACGUCUCAGAGGAGGGACUUUUUUUGCCCCUCAGAGUGCAAAUCAACCCGUUAGUCCCACCAAGCUUCCUGAGACGAGGGAGCUUGUGCUUAAGGGAUUAAAUGGCCGCUACUGGAUGGCCCCCGGGGACAUCCCGGUGACUUAGAACGUGCAGGCUUGGAUGUCCAGGCAACGUCUGUGGUGCCAUCUUCCCAACAGGGCUGGCUUGUGUCUUGUCCUCAGCAAGGGGCCCGGCCGAUGGACCCCGUGUGCUCACCUUCCAGUGGUGUGGUCACAGCCCACAUCCAUCUCCCAGACCCCGGGGCCGAGGAGGACCAGCUCUGACACCGCACCCGCCCUCCCCUUCCACGGGGCCUGGCGUACCGCGGCUGCGCGACACCGGCUGUGGGGAGGCACAGUCCCCGGCUCGCUGCCACCCCACGCGCCAGCCUUGUGCUGGGGCUGCUUGGGGCCUCUUGUCUGUCGUGAAUGGGUUAACCUCAGUCCGUCCCCCUUCUGGACUGUGACACCUCGAGGGAGGUCCCCCUCCCAAUGUGUAACCCGGUCCAGGCACAAUUUGUAUUUGUCAAACCAAUGGUAACUACCUCCUUUAUAAACAGAUUCUUGCAGCUGGUUAA